This is a long non-coding RNA of Cucumis melo (muskmelon), 1300 nucleotides long. RefSeq lists it as uncharacterized. The record is from RefSeq and is a predicted model, not a curated record. NCBI's taxonomy places the organism in Eukaryota, Viridiplantae, Streptophyta, Magnoliopsida, Cucurbitales, Cucurbitaceae. The transcript has 4 exons.
CAUGCAAGAGAUGUUUGAAUUUAAAAAUUGGAGCUCAUUAGAGGGUGUGGAACGACAUCUGCUGAUUAUUGGAAUAUCCCCCUACUACACAUAAUGGGUGUAUCAUGGAGAGUCAUUAAGCUAUAGAGGUACAGAAAACUUUGAGGAAGGAACUAGUAGUAAUCCUUUUAAUGAAGGAACUAGUAGUACACAAUUUAAUGAAGAAGGUGAUAUCUUUGGUAUGCUAAAUGAUCAUUUACAAGCCCCUAUUGAACAUGAAGAGGAAAUAGAGGAAUUUCAUUUGGAAGAUGAAAUGCCGAUGAAUGUUGGGGUAAAUAUAGAUGAAGAUACAACAAAUAAUAUAUUUCAGGACUUAUUGAAUCAAGCACGUAAUGAGUUGUACCCCGGUUGUUCUGAAUUUUCGUCGUUGAAUUUUUUGGUUAAGUUUAUGCAUGUGAAAGUUCUAAAAGGUUGGAGUAACAAGUCGUUCGACAUGUUGUUAGAACUCUUAAGAGCAGCGUUUUCAAUGUGUAAUAGUACUAUUCCUAGUUCAUUAUGCCAUAUCGACGAUCAAAUUUUAUGGAGACGGACGAUAUGUUCCUCCAGUUUGAGGAUGAUUUAGAUAACAUUGCGGGAGGGUCGUCAUCUGUGGGCGACAAUACGGGGUCUUCUUCUCAACAGACGACUCCGACUCCUAGGAAACGUGCGCAGUCUCGACUCUUGGAGUUAGAGCGCCACGUUACAAUAAAUGGGCGCAUUCCGAUGACGAUCGCCCCUGGAACGGAGAAGCCUAUUUCUCCACACGUCGUUCGCUUCAGCCAGGCGAUAGGCGUGUGCGUGUGAAAGACAUUUCCUGUCUGCUGUCUUAAGUGGGCGGACGUUGGGAGAGAAUACAUUGAGGUCGUCAAGGGCGACCUCCAGCGAUUGUUUGUGAUUGAUUUCAAUGAUCAAGCAAUGAAUAGGUUUGUUGAGCAUCAGAUGCUCACGACCUUUAAAGAGUUUCGAACCGACUGUCAUAGACAUUUCAAAAAGUACAGCGACCCGGAGGAGGCUCGUGCCAACCCACCAAACGCAUUGGUUGGACGUGAUGAGGAUUGACACUUCCUCUGCGACCAUUAUAUCAGUCGUGCAUUCCAGAAGCAAUCACGGAUGAACAAGGCUGCUAGACAGAAGCAGCCUUACAAUCAUAGUAGCGGGUCCAAGUCGUUUCUACAACGACAGUAUGAGCUCGCUGAAAGAAAAGGGCAGUCGGUCGAUCGUGUGGAAUUGUUCCUGGAAACACACGUUCGAGCCGGGACAUUCGUGUCGCAGGCCGCCGAGG